Molecule: unclassified non-coding RNA, 851 nt
Filed under: Hevea brasiliensis (rubber tree)
Lineage: Eukaryota; Viridiplantae; Streptophyta; Magnoliopsida; Malpighiales; Euphorbiaceae
Source: RNAcentral
CUUCACAACACAAGGAAUUCUAGUCCAGAAAGGCCACGAGACCUUCAUAUCAAGCUGCUUCUUAGGGCAACAUUCCACAGUUGGUGGAGAUAAAGGUGAAAGAGAUUUCUCAGGCACUGCCAUUGAGCUGGCUAGCAAUGAUAAUGCAAUAACAGAUGUUGCAAUCUUCUCAGCUGCCAUUGGAGUGCUAUUGAAAGGUCAGGCUAAUAUUCUGACGGGAAUACACUGCUAUAACAAGGCAACGUUUUGGGGUGGCAUUGGAGUUCUGGUGAAGCAAUUUGCUUCACUCACCAGGAUAGAUAACUGUUACCUGGAUUACAAUUCUGUAGUCAUCGAAGAUCCAGUUCAGGUUCAUGUCACUGAUGGGCUCUUCUUGGGAGAUGGCAAUGUUGUUUUGAAAGCUAUAAAAGGCAAAAUUUCUGGGGUUAAUAUAGUCAAUAAUAUGUUUAAUGGGAACCCAAAAAAUAUGGUUCCUAUAGUAAGAUUAGAUGGGAUUUUUACUAGCGUUGAUCAGGUGGUGAUUGACAAGAACAAUGUGAAUGGUAUGAGCUUGAAAUCAACUACAGGGAGACAAACAGUGGCUGGAAAUGGAACAAGAUGGGCAGCUGAUUUUUCAUCUUUGCUGAUAUUUCCAGACAUGAUUAAUCAUUUUCAGUUCUCAUUUUACAGUAGUGAAAAGGGGUUGCUGCCAGUACAUGCAGCAGUGACAAAUGUGUCAAAUAAUGUGGUGGUUGUGGAGAGUGACAAAGCAGUUAAUGGGGUUGUUUCUAUAGUGGUUGAUCAGUAUAAUAUGGUUGGAGAGGGUAUUGUUUUUAUGUAAAUAUUAACUGGGUCAUGGGCAUCACUUCAUA